This 758-nucleotide ribosomal RNA is filed under the name Paculla sp. CASENT9029929. RNAcentral's name for it is "eukaryotic LSU rRNA". The stretch from base 467 to 758 matches the Rfam family "Eukaryotic large subunit ribosomal RNA", at positions 665 to 921 of the family's 3401-position model. The record is from RNAcentral. Lineage: Eukaryota; Metazoa; Arthropoda; Arachnida; Araneae; Tetrablemmidae.
AUCCUCUUGCGGGGGGAUUCAGUCAGGAGGGGCGGAGGUGUUCGCUGGCUUGACACAGACGGACCCUUUCCAAGGCCGGGCCGGCGACACGGUCUCUGUCUCACCUGACGCAUUUCCUCCCGCACUACGGACGCCGCAGCCGGUUGGGUAGCUGCGCGAGUCGGCCAUAAGGGCAGGCACCGGCAGGUGGCCGGUGGCGUUGCUUCGGCUUCGCCGCCGGUUGUUAGCCAGCUUGUCCGUGGCGCGACACCCGACCGAGGUUGUUUCGUUCCCUCUUUGGGAACUAGCCGUCCCCUCCCCUCGAGUAGCGGGCGCUCCGGCAGGCGUAUCGCGGCUCUGUCACGUCACUCUCCGUAGUGGCCGACGGUCCGCGUUCGUUGUUGGUCGGAUGUCGAUCCGCGGGGGGUUCGUCCCGGGGCUAGCGGCGAGUAGGUCGGUCACCCACCCGACCCGUCUUGAAACACGGACCAAGGAGUCUAACAUGUGCGCGAGUCACGGGGUCUUGACUAGGCCCAGAGGCGCAAUGAAAGUGAAGGCCGUCCUCGACGUCGGCUGUGUUGGGACUCUCCGCUCCCUCGCGGGCGGGGAAGCACCAACGACCCGUCCUAUCCGAUUUAUCGGUUGGGCGGAGUCCGAGCGUACACGUUGGGACCCGAAAGAUGGUGAACUAUGCCUGGGCAGGACGAAGCCAGAGGAAACUCUGGUGGAGGUCCGUAGCGGUUCUGACGUGCAAAUCGAUCGUCAGACCCGGGUAUAGG